RNAcentral lists this ribosomal RNA (285 nucleotides) under Porphyromonas sp. RNAcentral describes it as "partial 23S ribosomal RNA". It matches the Rfam family "Bacterial large subunit ribosomal RNA", at positions 2629 to 2925 of the family's 2925-position model. Lineage: Bacteria; Pseudomonadati; Bacteroidota; Bacteroidia; Bacteroidales; Porphyromonadaceae. The record is from RNAcentral.
GUUCGGUCUCUAUCUGUUGUGGGCGUAGGAUAUUUGCGUGGACCUGUCACUAGUACGAGAGGCCCGUGAUGGACUAACCUCUGGUUUAUCGGUUGUUCCGCCAGGAGCAUUGCCGAGUAGCUACGUUGGGACGAGAUAAGUGCUGAAAGCAUCUAAGUACGAAGCUCUCCACAAGAUUAGAUAUCCUCAUAAGGGUGGUUACAGACGAUGACCUUGAUAGGCUACAGGUGUAAAGGUGGUGACAUCAAAGCCGAGUAGUACUAAUAGCCCGAAAGUUUUGCGCAA